CGCCUGCACAGCCUUUCCCCAUGUCGGAGCGGCGGCCUGAGGCAGCGGGAGCCAGGUACUGCAAUGACUGCAGGAGUUUUGCUGCAAAAUGAACUACCGUAUUCUUCGCUGCUAGAGAGCAGUCUAUAUCUUGCAAAUAUGAGUUCAGGUAAUAAUUUUUCUCUGAUACGCCAUUCCUAAAAAGUGCUUAGAGAAAUUCUGGGGAAAAAAAAAAAAUUCUACAGAAAAUUAAAAAAAUCCUAGAAAUAGUAUCCCCAAUUAUAAACAUAAAAUGCCUAUAACAAAACCAAAUGGCAUUACUUUCCAUCGUCAUGAUGUGUUAAUACGUUGAGCUUUUCUAACCUUGAUAUUGUCAGGUCUCUUAAUUGAAGAACUAUGUGAUUUUUGUGUUCAGAAACUGCCUAGCUCUAUGAAAAUACAAACACAUCUUCAACAAAAUGCCUCUUUCUAAUAAAGUAUUUAAGCUCUUCUGAGAUGUAAUUCUUUCUUACUAUUUUGGGUGAGUACUUGCAAAUCCUGCUAGAUUCAGUAGGAAAAUAAUGAUGUGCAGCAUUUUAUUUUGCUCAUUUCUGGCUCUACUGUAAUUUGAUACAUACUGAAGAAAAGUUUCUGGGAAGAGAAAAAGAAUUAAAUAUAAGAAAGCAAUAGAAUGAAUUAGAAAUUUUUUUUCAUGUCUGCUGAAUAUAGGUAGCAUUUGCAAUAGCCUUUUUCAUCUCCUUUCUCUUCCACCCAGCCCCUCAAAUAAAAGCAGCACUCAAUUCCUGUUCAGUGCCUAGAAGAAGCAGUAGAUUGUUGCCUCAUGAAUUUUUAUCAGAAGAGUGCUUUCUCUUACGCAAAUUCCUCUGUAAGAGUUAGUGUUUUCGUAGUACAAAAAGAAGUGUCACAGACUGAAGAUAGUAUAUGUUCUUAGGAAAAUGCAAUAGGAUUGAUUUGCUUAUUGAACAAAUUUUGGUGAGUUUUCUUGAUUUCCCCAGUUUCUCUCUCUUUAGCAUGCAGUCUAAUUCACAGACAAUGGGAUGACAAAGUUUUUAGCAUUGCUAUAGUCUGUUCUCCACAUAGUUGCAUGAGAGUUUUGUGCUUUUGAGAGUGUUGCAGUCUUUUUGGCCAGCUCAUUCUCCUUCUUAGCACACUGGAAGCAAGGUGGGAGGCAAUUUACCACGUAAUAUCUACCUUCAAAAGCCUAAAGCACUCAAAUGAUACAUCUUCUCCUCCCUGUAAUCUGCUUUAUCUCAGUCUGUAGGGCUAACAGCUUUGCUUAAUAAAAAAGCUGUGCCCUGAAAAAAAAGCAGCCUUUUGUUUUGAAUAACAAAUUGUGUUUUGUUAGAAGAUAUGAAUGGUCCAGAGUGAACAGUCUACAAUUCAUCAUGUUCUGAACCAUUUCAGUAGGAACACACUAAUCCCAAUCAUUACAGAGCUAAUGAUGCAUUUUGGAGCAACUAAGUGGAGGAGGAGAGGUGGUUGUGGAAUGUUAAACCAAGAGGUGGGGGAGUAUAAUGUACUUGCAGAUUUCUCAGGAAGCGGAGCCUCCAGCUACAUUUUGAUUGUUCUUUUGAAUCUAGUAUUUUGUAUCUUAGCGAGUUCUGAAUGCGUGUUAUUUACAACUAACUAAAUACUCACAUUGUUUAUGGAAAAUGUUUUGGUUGUUCCCAGUCGGUUUUCAAAAUUAUCUACUUGAAAUGCAACUAUUUUCAUCAAGCAGUGGAACAAUUUGUACUGAACAGACUCAAUUCCUAUAGAAUAGAGCAGCCCCAAGGAUAGCUGGCAGCAGCGCCUUCAUUGUUAGUUCCUAUGGAGACAGCUCAGCCCAUGCUGACUAGCUGCUGGAGCGUACAGAAGGAUGCACAGCUCUCCGCAACUUCAGCGCUGAGCAACUUGGAUUUCCUACCAGUGCGUCCCCAGCAGCCUUUCUAGACAGUAGCUGGGGCUGGUCAGUCAUGCAGGGUUCACCCAGAAGGCGUUCAGCAGUGAGUAUUUUUAGCAACUUUUUCCAGGGUCGGAGGCAUUCUUCCUCUGAUCCCCUUCUUCGCAUAAUCCAGAGGCGCCGGAGCUCAGUUGUAGAGGUACUCUCAUCGUCGACUCACCGGGUUAUGGUGGCGGUAUCGUCUCUGAGCCCUGAGGAGCUGGAUGCAACUUUUCCUGAAAAAAAAAGAAGUUCGAGGCGUCCGACAGCAAAAUACACUAAAGUAGGGGAGCACCUUCGCCAUGUCAUUCCUGGCCACAUGCAGUGCUCAAUGGCAUGUGGUGGACGUGCUUGCAAGUAUGAAAAUCCAGCUCGAUGGAGUGACCGAGAGCAAGCCAUUAAAGGGCUCUACUCUUCUUGGAUAACAGAUAACAUACUGGCUACGGCUCGACCCUCAACAGAAUUAAUUGAGAAGUACAACAUUAUCGAACAGUUUGAAAGAUGUGGCAUAAAAACCAUAAUUAACCUUCAGCGUCCUGGGGAGCAUGCGAGCUGUGGGAAUCCGCUGGAACAAGAAAGCGGCUUCACCUACCUUCCUGAAGCUUUCAUGGAGGCUGGAAUUUAUUUUUAUAAUUUUGGAUGGAAGGAUUACGGAGUGGCAUCUCUCACCACCAUACUUGAUAUGGUAAAAGUCAUGGCUUUCGCGUUACAGGAAGGGAGGGUAGCUGUUCAUUGUCACGCAGGACUUGGUCGGACAGGUGUUCUCAUAGCUUGCUACUUAGUUUUUGCAACAAGAAUGAGCGCUGAUCAAGCAAUUCUUUUUGUUAGAGCAAAAAGGCCUAAUUCUAUUCAGACUAGAGGGCAGUUACUAUGCAUCAGAGAAUUCACUCAGUUUUUGGUUCCCCUGAGAAACGUAUUUGCGUGCUGUGAGCCCAAGGCACACACAGUGACACUGUCCCAGUACCUGACCCGUCAGAGACAUCUGCUCCAUGGUUAUGAGAGCAGGCAUCUCAAACACGUUCCAAAACUUAUUCAUCUAGUUUGCAAACUGUUGCUAGACUUGGCUGAAAACAGGCAAGUGAUAGAGGCAGAAUUGUUAGAUAUACCAGAUCUCUCUGCUGAAAUCGAAAAGACUGUUUCUCAGCUGGAGUCCACACAGCUAGACAGAGAACUCGCGAGGCAGGACAGUGACACGUCGGACUCCUCCCACACCCACUCGUCCACAUUUGAGACCCAGGAUUCUCUUUUCUCCCUGGGACAUGAAUGUGAUCCUCUUUGGAAAAGAAGGAAUGUCGAAUGCCUUCAGCCUCUCACUCAUCUAAAAAGGCGUCUAAGCUAUAGCGAGUCAGAUUUAAGGAGGACUGAGUUUCUCUUAGAACAAGGAGAAACCGCAUGGACAGUACCCGCUCAGAUAUUACUGUGCAACAAGCUGAAGCAGAACAGUGGUGAGGAAUGUUCUGCCACAGGCCAAGAAAAGCCACAGUUGGAUUUAAACAAAGAAGCAUUAGUGCGUAAUACGUGCAUGUUCUGGAGUCAAGGUAAAUUUAAUCUGGAUGGACGAAAACAUGGAUCCUCACUUUGUCACAGAAGGAACUCUACCAAAGAAGUACAACGCAGCAGAACCUUUUCUUCAGGCCUAGCAUCUAUCCACAAUACCGGAGAACCUGGAACGCCAAGGCAUAAUUUUACCGAUGAGAUUGGUCAUAGAAAAGACUGCAAGACUAAUAUGUAUAGCAGAAGAGUUUACAUCUCCGAGGACUCUGAUUCUUCGUCUUCUUCUAAAGUGAACUUUUCCAUUGGAUGUGAAAGCCAAGGUAGCAGAGAUGUGUCAGAAGCAAUUCCACACAUUGUUCUGCAGUCAGAAUUAAGUUUGGAAGCCCGAAGAGUUUUGGCAGCAAAAGCACUUGCAGAUAUAAAUGAAUUUCUGGGAGAGGAUGAAGUGAAGCAGAAGGUAGAAAUGUGGCAGAAAGAACUGAAUUCUCGAGAUGGAGCUUGGGAUAAAAUCUGUACUGAGAGAGAUCCUUUUAUCCUCUGUAACUUGAUGUGGUCCUGGAUAGAGCAGCUGAAAGAACCUAUUAUAUCCAAAGAUGAUAUUGACUUGCUGGCAAAAAAUUGCACAGAAUCACAGGAUGCACUUUACUUACUGAGAAAGGAACAGUGUCAGACUAUCCUUUGUAUUUUACACUGUGUGGUGAACUUGCAAAUGCUACCAGCUGAUGUGGAGGAGGCCUUACUUGCUCGUGCUAUUAAAGCUUUCACUAAGACCAGCUUUGAUUCUGAAAAUGGACCGUAUGUUUACAAUACCUUGAAAAAAGUAUUUAAACAAACACUGGAAGAAAGAAGAAAAAGGCUUAAGGAAGGACCAGAGAAUCCCUCUUGAUUUCUGCACAGCUAUGCCGAAGAAUUAGAUGGGCCUACCAAAUUAUUUUGCAUUUUCCAGCUACUGUAUUUUGUGCUAUCUAGCAUGAUUUAUCUAACUUGAGAAAUUUAAAAAUAAGACUAAGAGUAAUAAUGACCAGAUCUUGAGGUCUCCUGUUGGUAGCAGUUCCUCCAGCCUUAGGACUUCUGAUGGCUCCGGCAGUGUCCAUCCCAUCUACUGUUGGCGUUCAUGGCACAGCUUGUUCGUGGAGACAGUGGACUGUAUCCAUCAGACUGGCAGCAGCCACAGGGAGCAGCUCAGUGGCGGUGUUCGGGGCUCUGUAAUACACCACUAAUCACCACUUGCCAUGAGGUUUCUCUACCAGCCAUGCAGGAGAAUUGUAGCAGGACGGAGACUUGAUGACACUUCCCCAUUCUUCAGGUUCUUUUAUCACUUCAGGCACAGCCCAGGUGACAUCAGAAGGUGACUGGUGGUGUGGGAUAAAGGGGCAGGAGUGGGACCUCGUGCUACUGACCUGUUUGCAAGAGGUUGGCAGUCAGGGAUGUGUUGAUGGGAGGUAAACUGUAGGGCAGAGCGCAGGGUGCUCCUGUUCCCUUUUUCCCCAGGAGUUCCACAACUGACCCUUUAACCCAUCCCUACCUCACCCACGCCAGGGACCUUGAACUACCCCUUAGAUGGAAUUACCUGAGCCCUGGCCCAUGGGUGGGUAGUGAUUUGCCAUUGCCACCUUCAAGAGCAGCAAUUCGCUUGCAAAUUGGAGGCUGUCUUCUCUAAGAGUCCUACCACUGAGAUUUGGGUCCUGUGUCAGUAAGGAAUGCUGCAACAUAGCAAUCGCUCAUUGCAGCCAUCAUCAUCUUGGGAUGCAGUAAGGGUAGGGACCCCAAGGAUCACUCUCUAACGCCAG
Molecule: RNA transcript, 5184 nt
Organism: Grus americana (Whooping crane)
Lineage: Eukaryota; Metazoa; Chordata; Aves; Gruiformes; Gruidae
Gene: PTPDC1
Gene name: protein tyrosine phosphatase domain containing 1
Exons: 12
Source: RefSeq, a predicted model, not a curated record